CCUACGGGAGGCAGCAGUGAGGAAUAUUGGUCAAUGGGCGGAAGCCUGAACCAGCCAAGUAGCGUGCAGGAUGACGGCCCUACGGGUUGUAAACUGCUUUUAUACGGGAAUAACGCGCCUUACGUGUAGGGCUUUGCAUGUACCGUAUGAAUAAGGACCGGCUAAUGCGGUGCCAGCAGCUGCGGUAAUAGGGAAGUCCCGGGCGUUAACGGGAUGUAGUGGGGUUAAAGGGAGCGUAGGCCGCAUGUCAAGCUUGCUGUGAAAUGGCCGGGUUCAACCCGGGCCUGGCAGCGCGACCUGGCGUGCUUGAGUCCGCGGAAAGCAGGCGGAAUUCGUCGUGUAGCGGUGAAAUGCUUAGAUAUGACGAAGAACCCCGAUUGCGAAGGCAGCUUGCUGCAGCGGAACUGACGCUGAUGCUCAAAAGCGCGGGUAUCGAACAGGAUUAGAUACCCCGGUAGUC
RNAcentral lists this ribosomal RNA (460 nucleotides) under uncultured bacterium. RNAcentral's name for it is "partial 16S ribosomal RNA". It matches the Rfam family "Bacterial small subunit ribosomal RNA", at positions 338 to 795 of the family's 1533-position model. The record is from RNAcentral.